Molecule: ribosomal RNA, 463 nt
Filed under: uncultured Pelotomaculum sp.
Lineage: Bacteria; Bacillati; Bacillota; Clostridia; Eubacteriales; Desulfotomaculaceae
Description: bacterial SSU rRNA
Rfam family: Bacterial small subunit ribosomal RNA
Source: RNAcentral
ACCCGCACAAGCAGAGGAGCGCGUGGUUUAAUUCGACGGCAAUCGAAGAACCUUACCAGGGUUUGAAAUGUAUCUGCAUGCCCUAUGAAAUAGGGAGGCCUUCGAGGGUGAUACACAGGUGCUGCAUGGCCGCCGUCAGCUCGUGUCGUGAGAUGUUGGGUUAAGUCCCGCAACGAGCGCAACCCCUACGUUUAGUUGCUAACGCGUGAAGGCGAGCACUCUAGACGAACUGCCGUUGACAAAACGGAGGAAGGUGGGAUGACGUCAAAUCAUCAUGCCCCUUAUGUUCUGGGCUACACACGUGCUACAAUGGCCGGUACAGACGGACGCAAAGCCGCGAGGUGGAGCAAAUCCUAAAAAGCCGGUCUCAGUUCGGAUUGCAGGCUGCAAUUCGCCUGCAUGAAGUCGGAAUCGCUAGUAAUCGCAGGUCAGCAUACUGCGGUCGAAUACGUUCCCGGGCCUU